AAUGAACGCUGGCGGCGCGCCUAAUACAUGCAAGUCGAGCGAGAAGACGUAGCAAUACGUUUGUAAAGCGGCGAACGGGUGAGGAAUACAUGGGUAACCUACCCUCGAGUGGGAAUAACUAGCCGAAAGGUUAGCUAAUACCGCGUACGCUCCUUGGACUUCGGUUCAGGGAGGAAAGCGGAUAACCGUGGGUAUCGCGCUCUUGGUUGGGCUCAUGUCCUAUCAGCUUUGUUGGUGAGGAACGGCUCACCAAGGCUUCGACGGUAGCUGGUCUGAGAGGACGAUCAGCCACACUGGCACUGCGACACGGGCCAGACUCCUACGGGAGGCAGCAGUAAGGAAUAGUUGCGCAAUGGGC
This 358-nucleotide ribosomal RNA is filed under the name uncultured bacterium. RNAcentral describes it as "bacterial SSU rRNA". It matches the Rfam family "Bacterial small subunit ribosomal RNA", at positions 29 to 376 of the family's 1533-position model. The record is from RNAcentral.